This 76-nucleotide transfer RNA is filed under the name Bdellovibrio sp. qaytius. RNAcentral's name for it is "tRNA-Val". It matches the Rfam family "tRNA". From Rfam's summary of the family: Transfer RNA (tRNA) molecules are approximately 80 nucleotides in length. Their secondary structure includes four short double-helical elements and three loops (D, anti-codon, and T loops). The record is from RNAcentral. RNAcentral also lists the same sequence under 2 other names. Lineage: Bacteria; Pseudomonadati; Bdellovibrionota; Bdellovibrionia; Bdellovibrionales; Pseudobdellovibrionaceae.
AGGGAAUUAGCUCAGUUGGUAGAGCGCUACCCUUACAAGGUAGAUGUCGUCGGUUCGAAUCCGGCAUUCCCUACCA